UGGGGGAUAUUGCACAAUGGGCGAAAGCCUGAUGCAGCGACGCCGCGUGGGGGAUGAAGGCCUUCGGGUUGUAAACUUCUUUUGCUCUGAACAAGGCAUGCUUUUGGGGUGUGUUGAGUGUAGGGGUUGAUUAGCGCCGGCUAACUACGUGCCAGCAGCCGCGGUAAUACGUAGGGCGCGAGCGUUGUCCGGAAUUAUUGGGCGUAAAGGGCUUGUAGGUGGCUGGUUGCGUCUGUCGUGAAAGCUCAUGGCUUAACUGUGGGUUUGCGGUGGGGACGGGCUGGCUUGGGUGGAGUAGGGGAGGGUGGAAUUACUGGUGUAGCGGUGGAAUGCGCAGAUAUCAGGAGGAAUACCGGUGGCGAAGGCGGGUCUCUGGGCUGUUACUGACGCUGAGGAGCGAAAGCGUGGGGAGCGAACAGG
Molecule: ribosomal RNA, 420 nt
Filed under: Fusobacteriota bacterium
Lineage: Bacteria; Fusobacteriati; Fusobacteriota
Description: Fusobacteria bacterium partial 16S ribosomal RNA
Rfam family: Bacterial small subunit ribosomal RNA
Source: RNAcentral